Podospora didyma is the source of this 114-nucleotide non-coding RNA. Lineage: Eukaryota; Fungi; Ascomycota; Sordariomycetes; Sordariales; Podosporaceae. The record is from the annotation of a GenBank genome assembly.
GGCUGGGUGGCCGAGCGGUCUAUGUCGGCAGGUUCAAGGUUCUUCCUUAUUCUUCCAAAGGAGAAUUGCAUUCUGUUCUCGCAAGAGGCGCGAGUUCGAAUCUCGCUCCAGUCG